UACGAGGGGUGCAAGCGUUGCUCGGAAUUAUUGGGCGUAAAGGGCUCGUAGGCGGUCUGUCGCGUCGGUAGUGAAAACUCAGGGCUUAACCCUGAGCCUGCUUCCGAUACGGGCAGACUAGAGGUAUGCAGGGGAGAAUGGAAUUCCUGGUGUAGCGGUGAAAUGCGCAGAUAUCAGGAGGAACACCGGUGGCGAAGGCGGUUCUCUGGGCAUUACCUGACGCUGAGGAGCGAAAGUGUGGGGAGCGAACAGG
RNAcentral lists this ribosomal RNA (253 nucleotides) under uncultured bacterium. RNAcentral's name for it is "partial 16S ribosomal RNA". It matches the Rfam family "Bacterial small subunit ribosomal RNA", at positions 524 to 776 of the family's 1533-position model. The record is from RNAcentral.